GGAGAUCGAGACCAUCCUGGCUAACAAGGUGAAACCCCGUCUCUACUAAAAAUACAAAAAAUUAGCCGGGCGCGGUGGCGGGCGCCUGUGGUCCCAGCUACUCGGGAGGCUGAGGCAGGAGAAUGGCGUGAACCCGGGAAGCGGAGCUUGCAGUGAGCCGAGAUUGCGCCACUGCAGUCCGCAGUCCGGCCUGGGCGACAGAGCGAGACUCUGUCUCAAAAAAAAAAAAAAAAAAAAAA
RNAcentral lists this long non-coding RNA (239 nucleotides) under Homo sapiens (human). RNAcentral's name for it is "LHRI_LNC207.1". The record is from RNAcentral. Lineage: Eukaryota; Metazoa; Chordata; Mammalia; Primates; Hominidae.